UACCAGACAGAAAGGAGAAUGAUGUUUUCGGUUUUUAUUUUACAUAUAUGAUAAACACACAGAUGAUACAUUGGAAAUGAUCGGCGAAGGAACGAGCGAGUGGCUGAGUGAGUAAGGAAAGAAAACAGCAAUUUUGUGAUUAUAUCAAAUAGAAGAAUAUGAAGACUGAGAGAACGAAGAAUUUCUCUUUCGGAAAGUCAUCUUUCUAAGAAGAGUGUUAAAGCUUAAAAAAAAAAUGCCGAAGUAAAAAAUGAAUGGAUCGUUGUUUCGUAAGAUGAAAGAAAGAGUUCUGGUAAGAGAUAAAGAUCAAAAGGGUCGAAGAUAAAAUAAGAAGAAGAAGGGGAAAAAAAACAAGGAGCAAAAACAAACCGAAAAAUAAAAUGUGAUGAGGGAGUCUGACAUGAUCAAAGGAUGUAACUCGAUGUAAGCUGUUUUAUCGAUUCAUGGAAUUAUUUUAAAGUCUGAUCGAGAUUCCUGUACAGUUAAAAAGAUUCAUAUCAAUAGAAGAGGAUCGAUGAAAUAAAAAUGAUUCGACGAAUUUGCGAUCGAUUGUAUGCAAAACAAUAGUUUAGAAUGAUAAGCAAACUUUAACGAAGUUAUAUUUUAGAACUUAAAACGCAUCUAAUCUUGACGUAUCAUAGUAAACCAUCGGACGCGAAAUACCAUGACAUCAUUUUUAGUCAAAUUAAUGCAAACGGCUUUUGCCGUUUCCUCUAACGAUUAGCUCGGACGACCAACCGCAAAAUUUAUUUUACGAAUCAUAUCUCAAGUCGAAUCGUCAAAACAAACUAAAUACUAUUUUUCUAUUAGAUAAGCAAACUUUAACGAGCUUUUAAGUUAGAUAUUAAUACGCAACGUAGUUUUAACGUAUCAUAAUAAACAUCGAUUGUGAAAUACCUAAAUGAUAAUGUUUUAAAUCGAAUUAACGCAAAACGUUUUCUCAUUUUUUAACGAUUAGCUUAGACAUCUAAAAUGACUUCCAAUCGCACAAAAUUUAUUUUACGAACGAUAUCUCCAAAUCGAAUCGUCAAAACUAAUUGAAUAUUCUUUUUCUAUUAGAUAAGGAAACCUUAACGCGCUAUUGAUACGUGCGACUGAAAAGCAUUCCAAUUGCAACAUUUAUGAAUCAUAUUUUCAUAGUGAAUCGUUAAAACUGAAUAUUUUUUUCUCACUAGAUAAUAAAUCUUAACGAGCUUUCAAAUUAAAUAUUAAAACUCAUUUAAUUUUAACGUAUCAUACUAAAUCAUUUGGCG
Long non-coding RNA from Vespula pensylvanica (western yellowjacket), 1253 nucleotides. RefSeq lists it as uncharacterized. The record is from RefSeq and is a predicted model, not a curated record. The transcript is spliced from 3 exons. Lineage: Eukaryota; Metazoa; Arthropoda; Insecta; Hymenoptera; Vespidae.